Molecule: unclassified non-coding RNA, 207 nt
Filed under: Haliotis rufescens (red abalone)
Lineage: Eukaryota; Metazoa; Mollusca; Gastropoda; Lepetellida; Haliotidae
Description: uncharacterized LOC124137811, transcript variant X3
Source: RNAcentral
CUAAACGGUCAUCGCCAUUGCUGUCACUGAACUUGUCACACUCAGUAUUCAUCACUUGUCUACGUUGUAUUGGGAUCAUGUCUACCUACGCUAAUAUGAACCAGUACGAUAAAGCUCGCCUAGGCCCAAGGUAGACGGUAAUGGAAGCCUCGGACUGUUGGAGACAAAGUUCCUGUAUUCCAAGGGUGGAUCCAGCAUUUUUUAGAG